Molecule: ribosomal RNA, 432 nt
Filed under: uncultured bacterium
Lineage: Bacteria
Description: partial 16S ribosomal RNA
Rfam family: Bacterial small subunit ribosomal RNA
Source: RNAcentral
AACGAACGCUGGCGGCAUGCCUAACACAUGCAAGUCGAACGAGACCUUCGGGUCUAGUGGCGCACGGGUGCGUAACGCGUGGGAACCUGCCCUUAGGUUCGGAAUAACUCCCCGAAAGGGGUGCUAAUACCGGAUAAUGUCUUCGGACCAAAGAUUUAUCGCCUUUGGAUGGGCCCGCGUUGGAUUAGCUAGUUGGUAGGGUAAAAGCCUACCAAGGCGACGAUCCAUAGCUGGUCUGAGAGGAUGAUCAGCCACACUGGGACUGAAACACGGCCCAGACCCCUACGGGAGGCAGCAGGGGGGAAUAUUGGAAAAGGGGCGAAACCCUAACCCAGCAAUGCCGGGUGAGUGAUGAAGGCCUUAGGGUUGUAAAGCUCUUUUACCCGGGAUGAUAAGGACAGUACCGGGAAAAUAACCCCCGGCUAACUCCGU